Molecule: long non-coding RNA, 1298 nt
Filed under: Mus musculus (house mouse)
Lineage: Eukaryota; Metazoa; Chordata; Mammalia; Rodentia; Muridae
Description: RIKEN cDNA E330011O21 gene
Source: RNAcentral
UCCAGCUGUUCUAACACCUCCUGCCUGCCAGUACUGACUCUUUAUGCAUGGGGGCUUCCGGCUUAUCUAUACUUCGAAGACAGUGAACUAGCGAGAGAGCCUGGCACCAAUCACGUGACUGCCGGGCUUCACAAGGAAGUAAAAACAAAAAGUGAAGAGAAAAACUAUUACUCAUACUCCUGUCUGAAGGUUAACCAGAUAUAGGACUCCUCUGUCUUGCUACGAUGGACAGCCACAAGGAUUCACUUGAAUAAAAGAAGCAACAGUGGGUGCCAGGCUGUUUGAAUUCUUAUUCGGGGUCCAGAGAGAUGGGUAAGAGCAUUUGUUGCUCUUGCAGCGGACCUGGGUUUGGUGUCUAACAUCCAUGUGGUGGCUCACAUCCAUCAGUAACUCCAUUCGAGGAGAUCCAAUACCCUCUACUGCCCUCCUCUAGUACCACACAGUGCUGUGGAUUGAAUGGCGGGCCUUGCACAGAAAUGUGCUGUUUUGUUAUACAUUUAUUACAAAGAAUCUCACAAAAAGAAAAUAUUUCAAAAAGAAUGCCAGGCUAAAGAACCUCCACCUGGAGAACUGGGGGAAGGCAGGGCAAUAAUAUCAACGUCAACAUACAGCACCCUCUGGCCAUACUUUAGCAGUUCCAGGAUGGCCAAGACGACAUCGUUGAUGUAACAGAAACCUGAGGCGUCAGACUUCUUUACAUGAUGCAGUCCCCCAGCCUGGCUCGCAGUGAUGUCCCUCUGAUGUGUAUCAAGUUUCACAGCACUUUCCAAAGAGCCACCAAUAGACAACUGACAACUCAGACAGGCCAUCGAUUACCGGGAAGUCCUCACCAACGCGGAAUCUCUGCAUCUGCUUGCUGUAUUUAGACACAUUAUCUGGGCGAAUAGAGCACAAGAGUUUAAUGUAGUCAUCACUGUGGGACUUGGUCAUCUCCUCAGCGUUGGCUCUGUGAGGACGAUAGAUUUCCAUUUUUUGGUAGAGAUGUAGUUGAGCUGCAAAUCACGAGUCAUGUGGAUUCGGUGAGGCUUCAUUGGGUGGCCCUGUCCAUAAGAUAGUUUCCAACAUCCCUGUUAACAGACGUUCCUCUUGCCCUGAGUCUGUGCCAUCUUUCUCACCACCCAGUGCUCCUGCCAGUCUGAUGUUUUAAUAUUUUUAGAUGGUGAUGCUUUGAGUUUAAAUGGCCUUUGACAAAUUCUAUCCUAAUUUCUAAUUAAGACAAGGAAAGAAAACAAAGAUGGAUAAGGACCAUAAAGUAAUGAAUGGACUGGAAACAGAAGUAAACUUAUUCAACAAUAAAA